Molecule: transfer RNA, 87 nt
Filed under: Ictidomys tridecemlineatus (thirteen-lined ground squirrel)
Lineage: Eukaryota; Metazoa; Chordata; Mammalia; Rodentia; Sciuridae
Description: Spermophilus tridecemlineatus (thirteen-lined ground squirrel) tRNA
Rfam family: tRNA
About the family: Transfer RNA (tRNA) molecules are approximately 80 nucleotides in length. Their secondary structure includes four short double-helical elements and three loops (D, anti-codon, and T loops).
Source: Rfam by way of RNAcentral
GGGGAUGUAGCUCAGUUGGUAGAGUGCUUGUCUUGCAUUGCUUGUCUUGCAUGCACAAGGCCCUGGAUUCAAUCCCCGGCACCACUA